CACAAGGGGCAGGACCACCUAACACGUGUGCCCAACCCCCAUUUCCAUCCUCUAAACACACACACUCUUCCUCACACACUCUCUUUCUCUUUGACUUUUUUUCCAGUGUCUCUCAGAGCUGUGUGUGUGCUGCUCCUGCUCCCUCUCUCUCUCUCUUUCUCUCUCUCUCUAUUCAUCUCCACUGUGUGUGAGAUAACGUCUGCCUCUGAGACCAGUCUCAGGAGUUCCAAGAGCAUUCAGUGAGUUUCAUUCAGAAAUCUGAAGACAUCAUGAAGUUUGAACUGCUGCUGCUGAUUGCCCUAGUUGGGUCUUUUUGUACCAUCACACAUGCAAGUACUAUUGUGGUACCCACAGACGUGGUGCUGGCACAAGUGACAGGGGCCUUUGGGCCCACUGAGGCUGCAGAGACAUUAAAGGAGGUGGAGGAACCUGUCACUGAAGCACCAGCACCAGCUGCUACUGAAGCUGCUGUGGUGGAAGCAGAGACACCAUCUGCUCAUACUAAAGUUCCUGUAGUGGAAGCAGAGACACCAUCAGCUCAUACUAAAGUUCCUGUGGUGGAAGCAGAGACACCAUCAGUUCAUACUGAAGUUCCUGUGAAGGAAACAGAGGCACCAUCAGUUCAUACUACAGCUCAGACGGCGCAAGCAGAAACAACAGAAGGAGUUACGGAAGCUCCUGCCAAAAACACCGAAACAACUGUGGAGGCAGAGGAUGCUGCAGCUACAGAAGCUACACCUGAAGUUAUUGAGGUAGCAGAUGAAACUGAAGCUCCAAAAACAGGGCUGUCAAUCACAGAGACAGUAUUAAACGCAGAGGCAGACCAAGUGAUCGAAACAGAGGGGGAUGAGGUGGAAGUGGAGGACUCAGAGGGUAUGAGCACGGGUCAAGUGGUGGGCAUUGUGUUUGGUGCACUGGUCGCUGUGGUCAUCAUCAUUGCAGUGAUAGUCGUGGUGGUCAGGAGGAUGGGACAAUACUCGACUGGAAAGAAACAAAAGCCUCAAAAACAACAUGGCCUCUCAUUCUCUGUAAUAUCACCAAGCGUUGAUCAAUUAUUUAUUAAUAUAACCUACUUAUAAUUCUAAUACGGAUAAAAUGAUGUAACACUAUGCUGCAACUCCUAUGUUCCCUACACCAUUUUCACUAUUAUGAGAAGAUUAUACACACACGCACGCGCAUACACACACACACACACACACACACACACACACACACACACACAGUGCACUUGUGGUAUUCUACUUCUGUAUGUCUACAUCUAAUGUUUGAUACAGUCUAAUCUUAGUCAUAUGUAGUCUGUUUUUAAAAAUUACAAACAAGCCUAUGGUAAAGACUAUGUGCUAACUAGGUAAAUUGUCAUUAGUUAGCCAUUUUCAUCAGCUGCCUAACAACAGGGUUCUCACAACUUUAAUCACUUGAAUAGCAGACAUAUUGUGUUCCCCAAAAGUGCUGUGAUUAGAAUGUCAUUAUGCACCAGACUGCAGCCAUUAGCCUGUUUUGUGUAAAGAGAGAGAGAGAGAGAGAGAGAGAGAGAGAGAGAGAGAGAGAGAGAGAGAGAGAGAGCAAACCCAGGGCACUUGGAGUGGCAACAUAAAGUGUCAUCAACUUAUACAAGACAUUUGUGUUACUAACAAUAAUUCAACAGCAAAGAUAAAUGUGGAUUUAAUGCCAACAACAUUAAUAUAACAUUGAUAUCAAAGCAUUAAUUACCCUAGAUGAUCAAUGUCCAAAACUUUACAGUAAUCAUGUCCUGCUCUUAUUCCCAACCCCUCCCCCCCAUCCCACCCCGAUUAAUCUUGAAUUCCCACAUAAUUCUGUCAAGGUAAGGGGAUGUGGGGAAGUUCGUGUGUGUGUGUGUGUGUGUGUGUGUGUGUGUGUGUGUGUGUGUGUGUGUGUGUGUGUGUGUUUGUUGAUAGUAGGUGUGUGUCAUUUGCUCAAACUAAAGUCUGUCUGAUGUUGUUGCUCUUUUUAGCCCCUGAAAAGGAAGGUGGCAAGACAGGAAGAAAAGAAGAAAAAGAAGAGGUUCUGGAAAUUCUGAACUACUGAACUGAUGUCAUUUCCUGUCAUUAAAUAAGCAAGCCAGGAGCACUCUAAUCAUCCAGGACAAUUAGGGCAGCAUCCUGCCUUACCCUAUCCCUAGAACCAUUGAUUUGGACACUUCCCCCAUCACCCUAACACCCCCCCCCCCCCCCCCCCCCCAAACAAACAAACAAAAAACCCUGCCCAUAACCCCCACCACUGCCAAAGAUUCAGACAGGAAGUAAAGGAGGAGGAAGAAUUUGAAUGUGUCACAUAUACUUACAACACAUCUGGGUUGUUAUGUGGACCUAAUGAGCAAACACAUUAACAGCCAGUUAAAAAAAAACAAACUAAAAUAUCUUUUAAAAUAACGGGGAGAUAUGAGGUAAAGUACAGAAACGCGAAAUAGUACAUAUGUAAAUAACACCAAAAAUGGCCAUAACUCACCAGCCUUUAACUUUCUCUCUUUUUUUUAUUGCAUUCUAUGUAUCGAAAGCAUGCUUGAACACACACCAGCAGUAGUUGAGUCUAUAUCCACAUUCAAUUCCAUGUAGCAUGACAAACAUUAAUGUGCUGCAGUAGUAUGACACAUAAAAAGCAUUUUAUAACCAGAUUAUAGGCAUUUUAUAAAGAGAUUGUAACAUGUUGUAUACAUUCCCAAGCAGAUCAGAUGUCAGGACAAAUUGGGCCUGCAUAAUAUCUUUCAUAUUUUGGUUUAACUAGUAGCUUUAAUCCUGACAUAUAAAACUUUGACAGGACAUUAAUGGAAUGGCUAAUGGCUCGGGUAAUUUCUAUGUUCAACUCUUGCAGUUCAUUAAUGUGAAUUCAAAUUGACGUGGUUGUUUUUAACAGCCUCCCUUUUCAGCAGUAAUUAAAUCAUAUUUACUUUGCUCCACAGCAUAACGCCAGUGUGAAUACUGCUUAAAGUUUUUCAACCAGGGUCAUUUUUGGAAAUUCUGUUCAAUCUGGAAAACAUUUAAGAAGCUUAGAGACACUCGGUCUCAUCAUCCUUUUACAUCAUGUGGUCUGGCUACCAGACUUGUGCUUUAACCUCAGGUUCACUGGACAAGAAGUGACUCUUUUUGCUGCGUAAUUAAGGGGUGUGUGUUAUGCUGUGCUUGCUUUAAUAUGUGCACUGACUGACAAAAAAUGUUUAAUGUAAAAUGGUUUGAGACACUGCAACAGUUUGCAACGAUGCCUUUUUUUUAUGCUUACUCUAUACGCCAGGUCCUCACUUUACUGUCUGCUGUCUAAGUCAUUUUAUUUAAUUGCAGUGUUUUUUUCUUUUUCUUUUUGGAUGUUCAUACUGUUUCGAUUAAAAAGUGAAAAUUGAUAUCUCAAUGUGUUUUGUGCCUCAGUAAGCUUUCUGACAUGCGUGAGAUCGAGCAUCUCUGUAAUGAUGUUUUUGUGAAAGUUGUCAGGUAACAGUGUACAUGCCAGUGUACAAUCAAUAACACGCUACAAUUAUUACCGUUAUUAUGCUAAUCCUCACUGGUAACACGUCAUAACCAGCUCAUUCAUUUCGCUGUCCCACUCUCUCUGUACCUACGUGGUACCUACCUAGAUUUGGUCAGUUAAGUAAUGUGAGGCACAUAACACUGGCACUUGUGUGUGCGCGUUUCCAUGUGGU
Molecule: long non-coding RNA, 3649 nt
Organism: Ictalurus punctatus (channel catfish)
Lineage: Eukaryota; Metazoa; Chordata; Actinopteri; Siluriformes; Ictaluridae
Source: Ensembl